UGGACAACAGGUUGAUAUUCCUGUACUACCGAUAACCGUUUGAGAGAAGGGAUGACACAGUAGGAUAAGCUAAGCACACUGUUGGUUAUGUGUGCACAAGCAUUGAGGCAGUCAAAGUAGGUAAAUCCGCUUUGAUAAUGCUGGGAUGUGAUGGGGAGCGAAAUUUAGUAGCGAAGUAGCUGAUUUCACACUGUCAAGAAAAGUCUCUAUCGAGGUUAAAGGUACCCGUACCGCAAACCGACACAGGUGGGUGAGGAGAGUAUCCUAAGGCCAGCGAGAGAACUGUUGUUAAGGAACUCGGCAAAAUGACCCCGUAACUUAGGGAUAAGGGGUGCCACCAUCA
Molecule: ribosomal RNA, 343 nt
Filed under: Clostridioides difficile
Lineage: Bacteria; Bacillati; Bacillota; Clostridia; Peptostreptococcales; Peptostreptococcaceae
Description: partial 23S ribosomal RNA
Rfam family: Bacterial large subunit ribosomal RNA
Source: RNAcentral